Non-coding RNA from Paramuricea clavata, 3811 nucleotides. NCBI's taxonomy places the organism in Eukaryota, Metazoa, Cnidaria, Anthozoa, Malacalcyonacea, Plexauridae. The record is from the annotation of a GenBank genome assembly.
AUUGGGUUGUUGGGAAUAGUAGCCUAAUGAUGAUGGUUUAAUAUUCUUUGAUUGGCAGCGAUGAUGAUCUGGACUGCAAUACGGAAAUUAAUGAAAGCUUUGUGAUAGCUAAUAAAUAUACACGGUGUUUUCCAAAAAAUUAUUAAUACAAUAUAAUCAUGUGUAUUGAUUGCCAUCAAAACCAACAAAAUAUCAAUCUUUAUUGUCACUAUACUUAUAUAGACUUAUUUUAAAUUUAACUCGGUGUUAAUGUUAAUAUUCAGACCAUGCAAAGUGUUUCGAAUUGUUUCAACAAAAGUUAUAACAAUGUAUAUUAAGCUAGCUUUUUACAAGAUAUUAUGGCGAAUGAUUCUAGAGGUUAUAUCUCAAAUUUUGAAAUUAUAUUUAUAUGUACAAUAUUUACACAAUAACUAUACAAAUCAUAUCUAACCCAUACAGGGCAUGAAAUAUAAUUUUACUACUUGAGAUUUUAAUUUGCGCAUCUUAAUUGUUCGAUACGUCUGAUAGAACUUAUAUAUUAAGUCAUGGGUUUUAAUAUAGAAUUUUCGAAUGGAUUGAAUUUUCGUACACAAGGAGCAAUUGCGAAAUAUACAACAGCUCUCUGCAUGGCAAAAAUCGAAUCUGCGGCUUUGCAUGUAAUUCAGGUGCAGAUCUCCAACUAACUGAGCUACAGAGUACAUGCAGUUGCCGAGAAUUACCCAUAUGUUCAUGUAUAGACAAAGGUAAUGUCACUAAUAUAUGGGUAAUAUGGGUACAACUGGCAUCUUGUUCGAUAAAGUUUAUAGAGAUGGGUUUUGUGAAGCUGGAAUUAGAGGUGGGGUUUAAAAAGCCUGCACCUACGAAAUGCCCCCAAAUCUCGAUAUUUAUUCCCAUAUUCCUUCUACUGGCAUCACCUUAGCAUAAUAUAUUACAUAUGAAUAAUAUUUAACAAUUAUUCGCCGAAGGCGAGGUGAUUAUCGGGGAAUAUUCGCCGAGACGAAGUCGAGGUGAAUAUCCCCGAUAAUCACCGAGCCUGAAUGAGGCGAAUAGUUGUUUUAGUAUUUUACACAAGUUUUUUGUGUGUUUUUUUAACUGAUUUUCAAUUUCGCUUUAUUUCUUUAACAGUAACUUCCACAAAACGGCUAGCCGCCAUUUUGUAAAUUUCGGUUUUGUUAUAUGCAACUGUAGGUGAAUAUAACAGAUUAAUACGUCAAAUUUGACCAAUCAACUUGUAGGAUUUGUUAUGUUCACUUGUGCAAAAAUACUAAAUACAUAUAUACACCACCUCAUAUUACAUAUCACCUUAUCUUUUACAUAUACACCACCUUAUAUUAUAUAUGACCUUGAUUUUUUCAACUCGUACGAAUAUUUUUUUUAAAUUGUUUGCUUGUGUCGAUAAUUUUAAUUUUAAAUAUACUCCCUUGCACGAAUUUUUUUUAUUUCUACUUAUAAUUGUCCUAAUUGAAAAGUCUCUGCACGAAUUUUUUUUUUCAAACUUUUUUAGUGCACGAAUUUUUUUCUUUCUGUUUCCCCUGCUCGAUUUUUAUUUUUGCUUCCCUAUGGUGUCCGAGGAGAGACAUUGCGUUUUUCUUAUUGUUUUUUGUUUAUAUAUAUUUUUAUAUUUAUUCAUUUUAAUAUUUUAAUUUUUCAUUUUAAAUUUAGUUUUUUUUGUUUUGAUUUUAUGCUUAUUUCAUUUCAUUUCAAAUUUAAUUUUUAAAAUGAAAAAUUCGCAUGUCCGAGAAGAGACAUGGCGAAAUAACGCUGACAACCUGUACAUGAUUCGCGGGCGCAUUUGCUUCCCGCCAAAAUAUCAAACAUGGCUGACAUGUGGAAAAGCGAUUCCGAUCUGAAAGUUCGACUUGAAAGUUUGGUGAAGAAAGGAUAUCAACGAACCGAUUCUACACGAAAUAAAAAAAGACUUUUCCCAAUAUACCUGGGGCUGUAUUAAAACAUUGGACCGUACACUACGGCAUUUUGACAUAAACUAUAUCAAAUAUGAUACUCCUGUAGAAGAUGUACGAAAUGUGGUCAGUGAAGAAUUGAAAGGUCCUGGCAGGCUCUUAGGUGUUAGGACCAUGACGAAAAAAUUGCGCAUGGUGCACGACAUUCAAGUUUCUAGAGACUUGGUCAACGCUGUCAUGUACGACCUCGACCCUGAUACCUUAAUUGGAACAAAGAGAACCACGUAACAAGGGCAAUAGAAAGAGAGGACAGUUCAUAACUCAUGGAGUCAAUUGGACAUGGAGUCUAGACGGUCAUGAUAAGUUGAUGGGAUUCCAGAACUGGACUUUCCCACUAGCUAUAUAUGGAUGCUAUGACACAGAGAGAAGUGAUGUUCCUUAAAGUAUGGACAUCAAACUCCAAUCCAGAGCUUGUUGGCAGGUGGUAUUUUGACCAUCUAUAUGAAACAAAGAGAAUAUCUUGUCCCACUCCCAGAUGAUACCUUGAAAAUAAACCUUACAAAAAUCGUACCAUUGAGGUUUUUCACUUCGUCAAGACAUUCGAGAGAUGGUCCUCUUUCUGUUUCUAAAAAGGUCACAGGAAAAUACAUCCAUUUUAAAACCAGUAAUACAGGCACGACGUACAAUGUCGAUAGAUGGUGGUUUACUUAAAUCUUCAUCUGCAACAUCCACUCUCUUAUAAAGUGGACCCAUCCUGGCAUAUUUCUGCGACGAGCCUUUGACCUGUGCAGACAAACGCUGUAUUGUAAGACGUUAAGGCAACAACCUAUCUUUGUUCUUGUUUCCGCUCUUCUUCUCUGUCUUUCUUCGUCUUUUUAAAGCCGUUUCAGCUUCAUAUUUCUUGAAUUUAUGAAAGCGCCCGCGAAUCAUGUACAAGUUGUCAGCGUUAUUUCGCCAUGUCUCUUCUCGGACAUGCGAAUUUUUCAUUUUAAAAAUUAAAUUUGAAAUGAAAUGAAAUAAGCAUAAAAUAAAAAAAAACCCAACUAAAUAAAUAUAAAUAUAUAUAUAAAAAAAAAUAAGAAAAACGCAAUGUCUCUCCUCGGACACCAUACUCCCCCCCUCCCCCCCAUCACUUUUCUAGUGGUCUGACCCUUAAAUGAUGCUCCCGUGAUGCUUUAUGUAUAUAUUAUAUAUGGUUAACACUCGGCCGCAACUGGACUCGGUGGCAGUCAAUUAGAGCGCUGCACCAGGUCACAGGACCACUGGUUCGAUUCCUACCAGAAGGCCUAUCGUUGCAUUUUUCACAACUGCUCCUGGUUAGAUCUAAGAAUGUACCGACGAGGCGUUGAACGCCGAAACAUGCAUGUCUGCAGAUUGUACUAUUACGCUCCUUCACUUGGGUUAGAUCUAAGAAUGCAUGUAUAUAAAGAUUAAGUUCCGUUCGAAAAUCCAUCUAUGCCAUUACCAGUAACUAGCGACCAAAUGACCACCGUUUAUAUACUAAUUUGAGUAUAUAAUCCCUACACAAUAGCCUUUUUAAUUGUUUUUUCUUAAUUCCUAACCGAAUAUAUAUGGUGAAAAUAUUUAACUCGAAAUUAUGGCAAUCUGAGACCUCGGCAACUGCAGUGCUGAUCUCGUCACCUCGUGAUCAAUAAAGCAGUCAUUACCUAAAGUUUUGGUAGCAUAUUUAUUGAUUCAGCUGCAGAUCGGCUAUCUCUCCGAGGGGCCAAGAGCUUCAACUUUUUGUUGAAGUGCUUCAACUUUUAUGUCAACUCCGUACGGUCAAACUGUCGAGCGAUUUUAUUUUGAGAUAUUUUUAAAACGCCGUUUGGUGACAUAAUCAAGGCUUUAUAAAGUAAUCUAUAUCAAGAACGUGGAAGACUAGAUCUUGAACAAUAUUGCUUAUUGUUUCACAUCCCAAAUAGACUCGC